CACCGUUUCAGUGGCAUUUAAAUCCCCGGCGCUCCUCUGUCCGGGUGACGCGCAGUCGCCCCCCCAGGCAGCCCGGGCGGCGGCCGCAGCGGCGGUGGCUGCGAGGGCAGAUCCCGAGCGCUGGG
Molecule: non-coding RNA, 125 nt
Organism: Myotis lucifugus (little brown bat)
Lineage: Eukaryota; Metazoa; Chordata; Mammalia; Chiroptera; Vespertilionidae
Source: Rfam